UAAUUGUAUUUUCUCGCUAUUUUCAAAGACCUUAAAGUUACGAUUUUAUCCUAUAAGAUAAGAUAAGAUGACUUCAAUGCAAUGAAAUAAAGCAGCAAAUAAUUUUAUUUAUAGAUGUCUUCAUAUAUUGUAAAUUUGAAGGUAUCUUCAUGAUUGACAUUCCGGGCAUAUCACACUUUCUUUCUUCCAACGCAACCAUCUAAAAUAAUCCCCUGAAUAGUAAAGUUGAAAGUUAAUUUUUUCUUACUUUAUAUUAAAAAAAAAAAUACUAUCCAUUCAAAUUUUUAGAUGAUGACAAAUUCGGAAAGUGCAUCAUAUUAUUUUAAUUAUGUUACCUUCUCCACAUGAAUUGUUGUUUUCGAGACGACAAUUAAACCAAACUUAUCCUCCUCACAACCUCCUCAAAAUUAGUCUUUUUGUGAUGAUGUGACAUCUCUCAAAAUGCUUCAACAUUGUAAACUAUAAGCCAUAGAAAGAUAACAAUAUAUAUAUAUAUAUAUAUAUAUAUAUAUAUAUAGACACACACAGAUACACUCCAUUUUAAUGAAUUUUAUUAAUUAAUAACAGUAAUUUUGCAGCGUCUUAUAUAUGAACGGUUAGUUUCAAACUUAAGUUUUUUUUCUUCCAUAAUAACCUUUCAUGGAAACACCUUCUCUAAUUUAAAUUUCUUUUCUAGGAUGUAGAGUUGAAGACCAAGAGUUGUUGUGUUUUAAUUUAAAUUUAUUGAAUAUGUUAUUUGUUCUGAACCGGUCAAAAGGAUCCUAGGCCCAUUUACUUAGGCCCAAUACAAUCUAAGCCAUAUACCAAGUUUGAAAAUAUUACUUGCGACACACCCCUUCCCCACGAAGGGGGUGCACAGAGCAAGCGAGAUCAAUUCAAACGAGCCACAACGUCUCUUUCCACGUUCCC
This 909-nucleotide long non-coding RNA is filed under the name Medicago truncatula (barrel medic). RNAcentral describes it as "lncRNA gene22514". The record is from RNAcentral. Lineage: Eukaryota; Viridiplantae; Streptophyta; Magnoliopsida; Fabales; Fabaceae.